This 696-nucleotide ribosomal RNA is filed under the name Triticum aestivum (bread wheat). RNAcentral describes it as "partial small subunit ribosomal RNA". The record is from RNAcentral. Lineage: Eukaryota; Viridiplantae; Streptophyta; Magnoliopsida; Poales; Poaceae.
AUGGCCGCCGCCGACCCAGUCCGCGACGGGCAGACGGCCCUCGCGCUCCGCCUCGUCAAGCACCUCGCGGCCGCGGACGCGGACGCCGCCGCUAAGAACGUCGCGUUCUCGCCCGUAUCCAUCCACGCUGGCCUCGCGCUGGUGGCCGCGGGUGCGGGCGGCGCCACGCGGGCCCAGCUGCUCAGCUUCCUCGGCGCGCCGACGGCGGACGGCCUCGCUGCCUUCGGUCGCCUCGUCGCCGACCGCGUCCUGGCCGACAAGGCGGGCUCUGGCGGGCCGCGCGUGCUCUUCGGCGGCGGCGUCUGGAUCGACGCCUCGCGCGGCGGGCUCAAUGAGGCGUUCAAGGAGGUCGCCGCCAAGUCCUACAAGUCCGAGACCCGCACCGUCAGCUUCAUCGAUGAGCCGGAGGAAGCAGUGGAGACGAUCAACCGCUGGGUGAAGAAGGCGACCAACAACCUCAUCGACUCCAUGAUCUCACGCAGCGACAUCACCGCCGACGCCAACCUCGUGCUCGCCAACGCGGUCUACUUCAAGGGCAGCUGGCUCAAUCCCUUCAACGUUUGCCACACGUCAUCGGGCAAAUUCCACCGGCUUGAUGGGAGCCACGUCGAGGCAGCGUUCAUGUACGAGCUCAAGACCAUGUCCAUCUCGUGCAUAGACGUUCCUACUCACUAUGAAGGUAGUAACAUAGUCUAG